This 445-nucleotide ribosomal RNA is filed under the name uncultured bacterium. RNAcentral's name for it is "partial 16S ribosomal RNA". It matches the Rfam family "Bacterial small subunit ribosomal RNA", at positions 354 to 796 of the family's 1533-position model. The record is from RNAcentral.
GUGAGGAAUAUUGGUCAAUGGACGGAAGUCUGAACCAGCCAUGCCGCGUGCAGGAAUAAGGUCCUAUGGAUUGUAAACUGCUUUUAUUCGGGAAUAAACCUCUUUACGUGUAGGGAGCUGAAGGUACCGAAGGAAUAAGCACCGGCUAACUCCGUGCCAGCAGCCGCGGUAAUACGGAAGGUGCAAGCGUUAUCCGGAAUCAUUGGGUUUAAAGGGUCCGCAGGCGGGCUAUCAAGUCAGAGGUGAAAUCCCACAGCUUAACUGUGGAACUGCCUUUGAAACUGAUGGUCUUGAAUUAAGUGGGCGUUGGCGGAAUAUGACAUGUAGCGGUGAAAUGCAUAGAUAUGUCAUGGAACACCGAAAGCGAAGGCAGCUAACGAUACUUAUAUUGACGCUCAUGGACGAAAGCGUGGGUAGCGAACAGGAUUAGAAACCCUGGUAGUCC